Molecule: long non-coding RNA, 6207 nt
Organism: Numida meleagris (helmeted guineafowl)
Lineage: Eukaryota; Metazoa; Chordata; Aves; Galliformes; Numididae
Exons: 12
Source: RefSeq, a predicted model, not a curated record
CAGGAACCUCACAUAAACGGCCACAGAGUUCGUGUGGGGCUGCUCCCGCCUCUGUGGUGACAGGAACCUCACAUAAACGGCCGAACAGUGGAGGGUUGGGCUGCCGCCACCUCAAUCGUGACAAAAAACAGCCAAAGGGAAAUGUAUGUUCCUGUACCAGCAGCAGGUAGAGAGUUUGUCUACCACAGAGGCCGGGAGACCGUGCACACAAAGGACAGUGUUGCUGCUGGGAGAUUUCUAGAACUGGAUCACCGUUCCUGCACAGAGCAGCUGCUCACUGCCUUGGUAGUGCAAAAGAGACAGUGAGCCACAUCCUGGUCUCAGUGACAAUAAGAGAUCACAGUUUGGCUUGAUAUUUAUGGAGACAGAACCAGUCUUGUACAUCGAAAGAAAAAGAGAAUGGAAAUCACUCAUCCACGGUUUUUUUCUAUGGUCCUGCCUGUGAUAGGAAGCAUGAGGGAAAGAAGGAUGUCUGAGAUAAGUACACAGCUAACACUUUUCAUAUGUUCCUAUCAGUGUGUUCAUAAUGAUGCUUAUAUUAGUCUGUGAGCAGCAAUGACAACCAGAAUGUUGCUCACUGAUGCCAGUGUUCUGUCUUUUCACUUUCUAUUUACUCCAGCUUUGUAUAGUAAGAGUCUUAUGUUGAAGUGAUCUGAAUUACUUAUUUUUAAAACUUUCUUUUUUGCAUUUCUUGACCAUAUCAGAAACUGUCACCAAGGUGGUAUAAACAAUAUAUAUUGGUUUUCUUUUGUAGUACUGUACCAUGAAGAGUUCCCCCAUGAAAUGCAUGGCUAUCAUUUCAUAUAUUUACUUGAAUCACAGUGAAGUCAUAUUCCUAUGGCUUUUCAAGAUGGAGAGGAUGACAUCCUUAAACUCUCCACGUAGAAGUCUUUGGGGCGGCUGUAACUGAUGGUGUGCUGGUGAAGUUUGUGCAGUGAUGCACGAACAGUCCUCUGGUGAGUGGCAGACAGGACGACUGUAAGCAGGAACGCUCCCAGACUAGUAUUUACCCUUCCUGCACUGAAAAGGUUGGACAACCAUGGAUCCUAAACUGUCACAAAAGUGGAGCUUUCAGGAUUCAGGAGCCUGACUCAGUAGAAGAUGCCCUGCCCGUGGAUAUUCAGACAGAGCAUGAAAGAGUGAACAGCUCUGUGAUGCGCCUUGCAGUUCUGCUGCAUGCAACCAAGGGAUGGCACAGCUGCACAGAGGACAGCGGGCAGGAGAGGGGAACCAACUGCAGUGCUGUGAGCCCAGUCUGUGAGAUUUCAGAUAGCCAGCUACAGCCAUGUCUUGGAAGGGACCGGUUAAGCAGGCACGCUCAGAGCACAGCUGUCAGAUAAGACUAAGUCUUCCUAGGACUGUAUGCUGCCUUCUGUUGUAACUGUUGGAGGAGGAGGAGGUGGCAUAAAUAUUGUUUUCCCUUUAUAUAAUAUGAUUAUUGCUUUGGAAUCAGGACACUUAGGGCUAAUUCUUUGCCUGGCUCCCAGUUCCUACUCCCAGGCCUGCUUUGCUAACUCUUUAACAGUCUGCGUAGACUAGAAUACAGUGAUGGAACAGGUACCAAAAUCAGUGGUGGUUUCCAGUUGAGCUGGAGAACUAGAUGGCUGAGAAGCCGGCUACAUUCAUUUUUGCCAGCUGUGUUGCAGGACAGCUACUUGCUACUUCUGGCAAGCAGACAUUGUCCAACAGAGAUCACCAAAGCUAGACUGAAAGCACUCUGAGACUUGGAGGUGUACCACCUUGAUGAAGUAGACUGUACAUCUAUCAGGAAUUUUGGCUGAGCUAAAUGUGAGAAAGGAUUUCAAUUUUGAGCAUGAAAUUUCUUUUUACUGUGAUUUUGGAUACAACAUAUGUCACAGAAAUGAGGAAAAAACCCUGCUGUUAGUGUGCGGGCCUUCUGAUCCUUCUGAAGAUUCAGAAUUCAGCGUCGCAGAUUUAACAUAGGUGUGUUUUGAAAGGUGUGAGCUCUGUUUGUACCUGGUAUCGAUACGGCUUUAUUUUUCAAGCAGAUUUAAUAGUCAGAGCUGUGCUGUGUAUCAGAUAAUUCAAAUCAAAGUCAGAUUGUUGCACUUAACAUUUUAAAUUUAAUUGCAUCAUAAGCAACUAGAUUUGAAAUAUCUAUUUUUGCUUUCGUGUAUGUUAUUAAGAAAUUUAAAGCCAUAUGUAACCUACUACAUUUAUGUACUGACCAUUGGAAAAGAAAUGCUAGAAACACAAUGUACUGAUUUGAAUUAUUCCAAGAAUAUCAUGUUCUUAAAAGGUAUUAGACAUCAAAUACUUAAUACGUGAGAAUAAUACAGAAAUUUAUUAUAACUUCAGUAUUGAUCCAGUUGUGUGUCUUCCUAAAAAUGGAAUUAUGUAAAGAAUGUUUUUGCAGCUUACCUUUUAUGUACUGAUUUUGACAGUUCAAGACUGAUCUUACGGCCUUCAAUCUGAUUGAACUGCGCCUGCAAGCUGUGGGGGCAGCAAACAGACCCCUGGCUGGGUAAGCAAUAAUAUAAUUGUUCUGCCUGACAAGGUCAUAAUCUGUUUCAGAUUCUAUAUUCACAGAUGAAGACGAUUCCAAGAAGACAGAUAUUCAACAUCAUCAUUUUAGUAUUGCACGUCUUCUUAAAAUUUCUCUUUUCUUUCAAGAAUGCAGCCAGUUCUCUGAGUUGCAGCUGGAGAAUGAGGGUAGGUGAGGCCACUCCAAAUCUCAGGAGAUCAGUAGUGUUACAGCUGAUGAUCUAAUUAUGGAUUAUUUGGGUCAGACUCUUUUCUCCUAGGUGUGACUUGGUUGACUUAAAAAAGGUUAAUUCAUUCAUUUUGUAGGGGUUAUAGCAUAAACGAAUUAUAAUUGUUAUCCUAUUACUCAUUAUAAAAGUCUAAUAUUUCCUAUAAGCAGAUGUUCUGAUUUUAUAAGACAUUUUUAAUAAAUGAUUAAACAUAUCUUAAAGACAUUACAUGAAUUGUAGGCAAUUAUGUUGUUACAUUUGUAUUAGUUACAUCUAUUUUGAAUAAAGCUCCAGAGGAAAACAUUUACUCAACAGAAUGCUGUUAAUGAAUGCUUCCUUUGCACUGUGCCUCUAUUGAUUUUGCAGAGGUGUGUAUGAAAAACAGGCUGUUGUAGUGCCUGUCAUUCACUUGGUCAUACCUUAAGCUGACCGUAUAACUGAUCCAUGGUGAAGCAGGGUUUAUUGUGUAUUUAAAAAUUAUGUCACUAAAGAGAUAGAAAAAUAUUGUCUAAUUGGAUUACAGAAUAACUCAUAACUGCAUUCAGAUGUUUUGGAAUUUUCCACAGUUUCUUGCAUAUUUGUCUUCAGACUGUCUUGAGGUAGUCACUGCCAUCAUAGUGCAGCCCUACAUUUGCUUAGGCAGCGAAGGCAGCUUGGGAAGCUGCAGACCCCUCCACUUGCUCCCAGUUCCUUGCCUCCUGCUCUUUUCCCCUUCAGUUGUGCUUUUACAGAUAUUUGUGGCUAUAAGCUGAAUAACUGAGUUAAUAAUAAUCUUUUACCAAGAGACUGGUACAGCCUGACCGUGCAGACCCACACAUAGUUGUGCUAGCAAAAUGGGAGAAUGUUUUCACAAUAAUUACCAACUGAAUUAGACAAAAGUACCACAGAGAAGGGCAGUCCCACCUCUUUCAGGCUACCAGUUGGUUUUUCCUAACUAUUCAGUAAUGUGUAUUACUGUAUUCUUGUCUAAUCUAUCAAAGAAUACACAAACAUAACUUUUAAAGUCAUCUGGAACAGAAUUCUUCUGAAUACAAAGCUUUCUGUUUGGGCAGUAUGGGGUUUCUUUACCAUUGUUUUGUUCCAUGGGCACAGCGGGUGGCAGUUGAGUGUGCUCUGCCCGUGACUUAGCUCCUCUCGUGUUCUUUAACUAAUCCCACUCAUCUUAAUGGAGACCUUUCUCAUUCACUGACCACACUCGAAGUAAUAAUUAGUCUUUAAAAAAAUGUACAAAUAGCAUGAGGCUGCAUACAGUGUCUUACAGGUACGUUUGUGGACUUGUGUUUCCAUGAUGGGAGGCUGCAAACAACCUCUGAGAAAAGGGUUUCAGAUGGGCCAGUUCUCCAAAACUCUUAGCGUGCAGGCAGUCGUGCAAACAGUUUGCUGGUGAAGCACAAGGUAAAGUUUGGCUCUGAUGCAGCUGCUGUACCAAAGAAAUAUGCCCUUAUUAUUAAACUCCAGUAUCCAUGCCUUUCUGUGGAGAAUAUAAUGCUGUACUGAGCCUGCUGAGAAGAGUUCAUCUGAUUCUAGUGGAAUUACACAGCAACAAGCCAAAUAUCUAGACAUGUGACACACUGGAGGACUAUUUAUACGUGCCUUUGAAUGUGACUGCGGAUUACCUAAAACAGUUCUUACCCUGAACAGAUUGACACUGCUAACAAGUGCCAGGCAUAUUUUCUAUUCCAUUCCAGGGGAAAGAAACAGAAGAAGAAGAAGAAGGAAGAAGCUGAAUAAGGAAUUUACCUUUGAAAAUCAGUAAGGUCCCAUUUUCCAUGCUCCUAUCAACUUCAUAUUUUCUGGUAUUAGCAAAAUGCGCAGGAUUUGGCUUUAUCCUGUUUCAAAAGUUGACCUGAUUAAGCACUUACAGCAAUAAAAUUUAGAAGCUUAAAAAUUGAAUGUCAUUCUGUAAUGACAGAGGGAACUGAAGUAAUGCAGUAGACGUUGGCUUUUGUAGAACCACCUGCAGGAAGAGAACUCUAGCUCCUGGCAUUUAGCAAAUGCCGGCUGUGUGUCUCCUGAUUUGCAGAAAUGCACUUAUCUCAAAACUGUUAAGAAAGGAGAUACACAAAAAGCUAAAAAUACACUUCUUGACACCAAUAAAUACAAGGUAAUAUGUAAUAUUGUACCUUAAAUGUUAUAAAUACUCCAGCACGAGAUUGAGCAGGACGGCCUCUCACGGAUGUCAAAUAAAAAUCAAACUGUAGUGGAUUUUGGUUGUGCUGAGAAAACACUUGCACAAACAAUUUUUGUUGUAAAUGAAAUGCUUCUAAUGGAACAUUGAUUUGCAUUGGGUGAAAGCUGUUAAUUUUAAGAUAAUUACGGUUCUUCUUUUUCUCUCUGUCUCACAAAUCUGAUCCUGGCCCUUUAAUUUCUACUUGUUCCGUCAGGAGGAAGAGCUAAAUCCAGCAGACCUUAUUUUGGCAAAACUCCCACUGAAGUCAGUGAGGGUUUUGUGUGAGUAUGGACUGCAUGAUUUGUCUCACAGUUCCUGCUGAUUAUUUGGAGUGUGAUUGCUCCCCGCCUCAAGUACCAGAGCUCCUCACCGAGUCUGACGUUCCCGCAGCACAUGGCUGACAGCACUUCUCUUCUGUAAACUGGGAGCAUGAAAAGCGGUGCAAUGCAGUUGUGAAAAACGCCCUUUUCACCCAGUGACCUUCAAAGAAACGCACUGCCUUGGGAGUUUUGAGACUGCCACUGUGGAACCAACACUACAGAAACAGAGGCACUUGAGAAUUUAACGAACCUAUUUUGAAUUCAUGCUGAGAAUUUAAAGAACUCUUUUAAGCAAGCUGUAAAUGGGUCAAAUUCUGAUUGUUAGAGAACAACUCAUCGAUUAGGUGUUGCCCACAAAGGUGGUACCUUAUGAUAAAACGCUGAUUCAUGUAAUAUUUCCUCACUGCAACACUGUCGUGUCCCUGCAAAAUUUAAUUCUGUUUCCAUUGCAGAUUGCAAUAGAGAAAGGCAGCUGAAGAAUUAACAGCAUCCCUUCAGCAGGAGACCUACUACUACAAAAAAUAACGUAGGGCAAAUGCUGAGAACGAGCUCUUUGUCUUUUUCACUUAAAUCUGAGCAAAUGCAGCACCAAUGAGAGAGAGCAGAUCUGCAUGCAUCUGUGCGGUCCUCAUCCUCAAGCAAGAUGACAGAGCUUUCCUGUGACUCUAGGGACAGUUGGUGUUAAUAUGACUAAAUAAUGCAAUGUUGCACGAUGCCACCUGGAAUUCCUUCUCAUCCAGCUCUGGGCAAAGACAAGGAGAAGCCUUCUGAAGCAAAGUAAGCAACUGCUCGUGGGUGACUGCUCCAAUCAGUAUUCCAGCUGGAAGAAAUUUGAACACCACAGACAAGACCAGCAGAACCAUGUGCCAGAUGCCUGAAUGGCUGAAGGAGAGGGGAAAACAAAGGAGCUACAAGAGUUGGAUGGACAGGAGAGAUCUUCGAGUAAACCGACCAACCAAGAAAGCCCUGCAUAGGUGAAAUAAAGUUUGAACUUGCUAAAACA